CGCGAAUGGCUCAUUACAACAGCUAUAGUUUAUUGGAUCUUCUCUCAUACUUAGAUACCUGUGGUAAUUCUAGAGCUAAUACACGCACGAAAGCCCCGACUUCGGGAGGGGCGCAUUUAUUAGAACAAAACCAAUUGGGCUUGCCCGUCGUUUGGUGAAUCUGAAUAACUCAGUUGAUCGCACAGUCCUCGAACUGGCGACGUAUCUUUCAAGUGUCUGCCUUAUCAACUUUCGAUGGUAGUUUACAUGACUACCAUGGUUGUAACGGGUAACGGAGAAUAAGGGUUCGACUCCGGAGAGGGAGCCUGAGAAACGGCUACCAUAUCCAAGGAAGGCAGCAGGC
This 343-nucleotide ribosomal RNA is filed under the name Cyatholaimus sp. PB-2006. Its description in RNAcentral is "SSU rRNA". It matches the Rfam family "Eukaryotic small subunit ribosomal RNA", at positions 88 to 433 of the family's 1831-position model. The record is from RNAcentral. Lineage: Eukaryota; Metazoa; Nematoda; Chromadorea; Chromadorida; Cyatholaimidae.